This 468-nucleotide ribosomal RNA is filed under the name uncultured bacterium. Its description in RNAcentral is "partial 16S ribosomal RNA". It matches the Rfam family "Bacterial small subunit ribosomal RNA", at positions 28 to 507 of the family's 1533-position model. The record is from RNAcentral.
GACGAACGCUGGCGGCGUGCUUAACACAUGCAAGUCGAACGGAAAGGCCCUGCUUUUGUGGGGUGCUCGAGUGGCGAACGGGUGAGUAACACGUGAGUAACCUGCCCUUGACUUUGGGAUAACUUCAGGAAACUGGGGCUAAUACCGGAUAGGAGCUCCUGCUGCAUGGUGGGGGUUGGAAAGUUUCGGCUGUUGGGGAUGGACUCGCGGCUUAUUAGCUUGUUGGUGGGGUAGUGGCUUACCAAGGCUUUGACGGGUAGCCGGCCUGGGAGGGUGAACGGGCACAAUGGGCCUAAGAUACGGCGCAGACUCCUACGGGAGGCAGCAGUGGGGAAUAUUGCACAAUGGGCGGAAGCCUGAUGCAGCAACGCCGCGUGCGGGAUGACGGCCUUCGGGUUGUAAACCGCUUUCGCCUGUGACGAAGCGGGAGUGACGGUAAUGGGUAAAGAAGCACCGGCUAACUACGUG